CUUAGGGUCCCCAGGAUGACAGCCUUUUAGAGUGCCUCACUUACAGAGCUGCUGUUAGCUGGUGUGAAGUGGACCCCAUUAGCACCUGAAAAAACAGCCUUGGAAAGGGAGUGCCAUUCAUGGAUGGAUGCUGUGAAGGUGCUGCUGUGUUAAUCAUAGUGUUUAAAGUGGAAGACUGCAUCUUGCAUAAGUGAAUGAAUUUGCAGGCAUAUCCACGGCCUUAUAUAAACACAGUCCCAGGUUAAUCAGGAAGAUGGGAGGUGGGAGAAAUGCUGCAAAGAGCCUCUGGCUUCAUCACAGACCUUGAGCCUGCAGGGAACAGUCUGCAACAAGAAGCCUUUGACUGGACACCAACUGAUGCUUUGGUUUGUGAGGGAUUCCAUAAAAGGUCAUAUCUUUCUGCACCGAUCCUCCACUUGCCUCAGGUGGGAAUGCGCUGGAGCCUAUGUGAGCUCCUUGCACCAUCACACUAAUCUGUAGUGUUUGCACUGGUGAAAUGAGACCUGGGGCCAUGCUGACCUAGACCUCCUUUGCCAAAGAGAAGGUGCCUGAAGUUCAAGAGGGAGGCAGACCGGGAAGAAGUCCAACU
Molecule: long non-coding RNA, 589 nt
Organism: Calidris pugnax (ruff)
Lineage: Eukaryota; Metazoa; Chordata; Aves; Charadriiformes; Scolopacidae
Exons: 4
Source: RefSeq, a predicted model, not a curated record